Malus domestica (apple) is the source of this 406-nucleotide long non-coding RNA. RefSeq lists it as uncharacterized. The record is from RefSeq and is a predicted model, not a curated record. Lineage: Eukaryota; Viridiplantae; Streptophyta; Magnoliopsida; Rosales; Rosaceae.
UCAAUUUUGUUCGAACUCAAGAUCCUCUCUCCCUUUCUCGCACUCUAUUUGUUUGUGUGUCUCUCUGUCACUCUCCCUAUCACAUCUGCCCACUUCGACGCCACGCCCUCUCCCCGACGCCACAACAUUACUAGAUGUCGAACUUAAUAUCAAACCGACGAGCAGUCUGACACCUUCUCCAGGAGGUAGUGCGGCUGCGACCUCCACACUUGAUAUGGCCAUGACGGGUGUCCAUUCGGUCAAGAAUUUGGGGCCAAUAGUGUCUACGGCUCCUGCGUCAUUGACUUCUUCAAUGACGCAUCCUGUACUAAGCACCUGAAAGACUCAUCGACGGCCCCGGAGUUCUGAGGAGGCCCAGCAGUCUGGUGAGGCUUCCUCUGUCCAUGGAGAGGGGUCUUAGACAGGU